Molecule: unclassified non-coding RNA, 354 nt
Filed under: soil metagenome
Description: partial contains 5.8S ribosomal RNA, internal transcribed spacer 2, and large subunit ribosomal RNA
Rfam family: 5.8S ribosomal RNA (bases 1-120)
Source: RNAcentral
GAUGAAGAACGUAGCGAAAUGCGAUAAGUAGUGUGAAUUGCAGAAUUCAGUGAAUCAUCGAAUCUUUGAACGCACAUUGCGCCUCCUGGUAUUCCGGGAGGCAUGCCUGUUCGAGCGUCAUUAAAAUCACUCAAGCUUAGGUUUACCUAUUGCUUGGUCUUGGAGAUGGAAGCCAAUUUAUUGGAAUCCUCUUCGAAAUUCAAUGGCGAAGACCCUUGCUCUCCCAAGUGUAGUAAUAACUUAUGUCACUGAAGGAAGCGAGAAAUCUUCUGCCGUAACCCCCCUAUUUUCUAUGAUUGACCUCGGAUCAGGUAGGGAUACCCGCUGAACUUAAGCAUAUCAAUAAGCGGAGGA